Molecule: ribosomal RNA, 154 nt
Filed under: Xanthomendoza mendozae
Lineage: Eukaryota; Fungi; Ascomycota; Lecanoromycetes; Teloschistales; Teloschistaceae
Description: 5.8S ribosomal RNA
Rfam family: 5.8S ribosomal RNA
About the family: 5.8S ribosomal RNA (5.8S rRNA) is a component of the large subunit of the eukaryotic ribosome.
Source: RNAcentral
CUUUCAACAACGGAUCUCUUGGUUNUGGCAUCGAUGAAGAACGCAGNGAAAUGCGAUAAGUAAUGUGAAUNGCAGAAUUCAGUGAAUCAUNGAAUCUUNGAACGCACAUUGCGCCCCUUGGUAUUCCGAGGGGCAUGCCUGUUCGAGCGUCAUU